CGGGCUGCUGGCGAUAACGGCUCCGAAGCAAAAAGAAGCCAAGAAAUGCGUUUGGAAACCAGUUCUUCCUCAAAUGAAAGGAGCCCUCCCUUCCCAAGGACUGAAAUCAAGAAGGGAACGGUGACCGCUAUAAAAUCCAAAGGUAAGAACGCAGUGUCGCGCUGGUUACAAUUAAACAUCCUUCUAAGCAGGUCACGCGUUACCGUAUUGAGGAAACGCAUCCGUUGCUCCUCGCGCCGUGCCGGGGCGCUGCAGAGCGGCGGUGCCUGGGACACGAGUGACAGCCACACGCAACAGCUCUUGUCAUUUACUUUUUCCCCCC
This 322-nucleotide long non-coding RNA is filed under the name Columba livia (rock pigeon). RNAcentral's name for it is "partial uncharacterized LOC102089019". The record is from RNAcentral. Lineage: Eukaryota; Metazoa; Chordata; Aves; Columbiformes; Columbidae.